GGAUGGUCUCCUGUUAUUAUCUGCUUGAGUGUAUUUUUUUUUUCAUUUUUUGCAAAUGCAAUAUUUGGUUUUGGCUUGUGGUUGCCCUGUUUUUUAAGUAUGCUAACCCCUUCCCAUAAAUGUGUGUUUUAGCCUGAUGGUCCUGUAAGUUCAAACACUUCAUUACUAUAUUAAAAUUAAGAAGAGAAACAUACAAACAAACAAAAAGGUUUAUUUAUUUCCUAACAUCACUUACCCGCAUUUUAUGGUUUUGACAACUCUUUUUUCUUUUUUUCUUUUUAAUUUUAUUUUGUUUGAAGCAUGUUCAUGAUUAAAUCUGUAUGCUGGCUUAUUUGAGUGACUGCUCUCUGAUUGUAGUUUCCUCAGUCCUAGUUCUUCCUCUUAUUCUUUUUCUUUUUUUUUCUUUUCUUUUUUCUUCCCUUUCCUUCCUUUCUUUUUGGUUUAGAGAAGCCCUUUCAAUAUUUCCUUUAACCUGGGUUUUGUGUUGCUGUAUUCUUUAAGUUUUUGUUUGUUGGGAAAAAUUUUUAUUUCCCCUUCUAUUUUAAAUGAUAUUCUUGCUGGAUAGAGUAUUCUAGGUUGCAUAUUUUUUCCUUUGAGCACUUUAAAUAUCUCUUGCCAUUCCCUCCUGGCCUGUAGUGUUUCUGUAGAGAAAUCAGCUGAUAUUCUUAUGGGGGUUCCCUUGUAGGUAACAUUCUGUUUUUCUCUUGCUGCCUUUAGGAUCCUCUCUUUAUCACUAACUUUUGCCAUUUUUAUUAUGAUGUGUCUUGGUGUGGGUCUGUUUGGGUUCAGUUUGUUUGGGGCCCUCUGUGCUUCUUGUAUCUUGAAUCCAGUAUCCUUUAGAUUUGGGAAGUUUCCAGCGAUAAUUUCUUCAAAUAUAUUUUCCAUUCCCUUAUCUUUUUCUACUCCUUCUGGAAUUCCUAUUAUGCGUAGAUUGGCCCGCUUUAUAUUAUCCCAUAGGUCUCUUAUAUUGCUUUCCAGUUUUUUGAUUCGGUUUUCUGUCUGUUGACCAGAUUGAGUGAUUUCCAUUAUUCUAUCUUCCAUAUCACUGAUUCGUUCUUCUGCAUUAUUCAUUCUGGUUUUUACUGCCCCUAGUUCAGUUUGCAUCUCUGCAAAUGAAUGUUCUAGUUUUUCUUGGCUCCUCCUUAUAUUUUCUAGUUCCUUUCUGAGGGUAUCUGCAUUACUGUUCAUAUCUUCUCUUAAUUCCUUCAGUAUUUUCACUAUUUCUCUUUUGAACUCCAGGUCUGUCUGACUGCAGAGAUCUGUUUCAUUGUUGACUGUUUUAGGUGAGUUCUCCUGUUGGUUUGACUGGGGGUGGUUUCUCAGCUUCUUCAUCUUGCUUGUUGUUUUCUUUCUCCUGAGGGAGUUGUACUCUCCGUUAUCGGGCAGUGUUUGCCUUGUCACUGCCGUGGAAUAUUUCCUGAGGGCUGGCGUUGUUGGUCAAUCUUUUUUGAGGCAGUGUGGCUUUUCUGGAGUGUUGAUGGGGCUAACAGUGUUUCUUUGAAGCAAAGGAGGACUUCCUGAGGGCAGACAGGACUGGGAGGUCCACACCACGAUGGUAGCAGAUUUCACUUGGUCAUGCAGAGCUUGCUCUGGUGUUUUUAGGCUGUGGGGUUCUUGCAGGGGGUUGGCGGUGUUGGGCAGCUGCUCCUCAGGGGUGCAUCACCCCCUGGGGGCUGGAGCAGCUAUCUGGGUCACUGAGAACCUAAGAGGCUCUUCCCUAGGGCAGCCCAACUCAGAAGGACAGCCUGAGAAUGUAGGCGGAUCUUUUCACAGUCUGGCCGAGCUUGUUGCAGCUUUUCUGGGCUGCAGGGGGUCCUGCCUGGAGCUGGCAGUCCUAUGCAGCUGAUCCACUAGGGCACCCCCUGGGGACUUGGGUGGGUAGCAGGGCCGUUGGAAACCCAAGAGCCUCCUCCCCGUGACAGCCCGACUCAGACAAACCAUCCGAGAAUUUGGCAGAUCUAUUCACGGCCUGGCUAGGCUUGUUGCAGCUUUUCUGGGCUGCAGGCCUUUUCUCGGGGGCUGGUGUAUCUGUUGUGACUUCUCCUUUUUCAUUUCUGAUUUGGUUUAUAUGGGUUUUUUUCUCUCCUCUUCUUGGUGAGUCUAGCCAGAGGUUUGUCAAUUUUGUUUACCUUUUCAAAGAACCAGCUCUUGGUUUUGUUGAUUUCUUCUAUUGUUUUUGGAUUCUCUAUUUUAUUGAUUUCCUCUUUGAUUUCCUUCCUUCUGCUGACUUUAGGUUUUGCUUGUUCUUUUUCUAAUGCAUUUAGCUGUUGGGUAAAGUUGUCGAUUUGAGAUUUUUCUUCUUUUUUAAGAAAGGGCUGUAUUGCUAUGAAUUUCCCUCUGAGCACUGCUUUUGCAGCAUCCCAUAGAUUUUGCAUGGAUGUGUCUUCAUUAUCAUUUGUCUCGAGGUAAUUUUUAAUUUCCUUCAUGAUUUCCUCAGUGAUCAAUUGGUUUUUUAGUAGCAAGUUGUUUAGUUUCCAUGUAGUAAUUUUUUCCUCAUUUCUUUUCCUUUGGUUUAUUUCUAAUUUCAUGCCAUUGUGGUCAGAGAAGAUACUUGAAAUAAUUUCUAUAUUCUUAAAUUUGUUGAGGUUAGCUUUGUGCCCCACUAUGUGAUCAAUUCUUAAGAAUGUUCCAUGUGCCCUUGAGAAGAAUGUAUAUUCUGAUUUUUUUGGAUGUAAUGUACCAAAAAUCUCAAUUAAGUCUAACUUUUCUAUUGUAUCCUUUAGGAUCUCUGUGGGCCUAUUGAUUUUCUGUCUAGAGGAUCUGUCCAUUGAUGUGAGUGGGGUGUUAAAGUCUCCUACCAUGAUUGUAUUCCCAUUGAUUUCUCCUUUUAUGUCUGUUAGUACUUGUUGUAGGUAUCUGGGUGCUCCUGUAUUAGGGCAUAUAUAUUGAUGAUUAUAAUAUCCUCUUUUUGAAUGGAUCCAUUAAAUAGUGUCCUUCUUUUUCUUUCUUUAUGGCCUUCAUUUUAAAGUCUAUUUUGUCUGAUAUGAGUAUUGCAACUCCUGCUUUCCUGUCUUGUCCAUAGGCAUGAAAUAUCUUUUCCCAUCCCCUCACAUUCAAUCUGUAUGUGUCCUUUGUCCUAUGGUGAGUUUCUUGUAGGCAGCAGAUUGAAGGUUUUUACUUUUUUGUCUACACAGCCACUCUGUGUCUUUUCAUUGGAGCAUUCAGUCCACUGACAUUUAAGGUGAUUAUUGAUAGAUAUGUAUUUAUUGCCAUUUUAAACUUUGUUUUCCAUUUGAUUCUAUGUUUCUUUUUUUUCUUUUUUGGGUUGUAUGGUUUCCAUUUAUUUCAUGCUUGCAUACUUUACUUUUCAGUUUUUGUGAAUGUAAUUUUCAGUUUUGAUUUGUGUUUGCCCCGUUUUUUUUUUUUUAAGCAUGUUAAGCCCUUAAUAUAUCUACUUUCUUUUGCCUGAUAGUCAUGUGGGAUCAGACACAUUCAUUAAAAUAAGAAAAAAGAAUCUAUAUUUUCUUACUUUCCUUCUGCACAUUGUAUGAUUUUGACAUCUUUUUCUUUUUUUAACGUGUUCAUGUUUAGAUCUGUAUCCUGGCUUAUUUAAGGGAUUGCUUUCCAAUUGUGGUUUCCUCCAUCCUAAUUCUUCUUUUUCUCUUCUCUCUUUCUCUCUCUUUUUUAAUUUAAAGAAGCCCUUUCAGUGUUUGUUUUAGAAUGGGUUUACUAUUGCUGUACUAUUUUAGCUUUUGUUUGCUGGAGAAAUUCUUUAUUUCCACUUCUAAUUUAAAUGAUAUUCUUGCUGGAUAGAGUAUUCUAGGUUGCAGUUUUUUUCCUUUCAGCACUUUAAAUAUAUCUUGCCACUUCCUUCUGGCCUAUAGUGUUUCUGUAGAGAAAUCAGCUGAUAGCCUUAUGGGGGUUCCCUUAUAAUUAAUUCUUUGUUUUUCUCCUGCUGCCUUUAGAAUCCUCUCUUUAACUUUUGCCAUUUUUAUUAUAAUAUGUCUUGGUGUGGGCCUGUUUGGGUUCAGCUUGUUUGGGACCCUCUGUGCUUCCUGUAUCUUGAUAUCUGUUUCCUUUAGAUUUGGAAAUUUUUCAGCCAUAAUGUCUUCAAAUAUAUUUUCAAUCCCCUUAUCUUUUUCUUCUCCUUCUGGAAUUCCUAUUAUGCAUAGAUUGGCCUGCUUUAUAUUAUCCCAUAGGUAUGUUAUAUUGCUUUCCUGUUUUUUCAUUUGGUUUUCUGUCUGUUGUCCUGAUUGGGUGAUUUAUAUUACUCAUCUCACUAAUUCAUUCCUCUGCAUUAUUCAUUCUGGUCUUUAACUUGGUUUGUUUCUCUGCAAAUGUAUUUUCUAGUUUUUCUUGGCUCCUCCUUAUAUUUUCUAGUUCCUUUCUGAGGGAAUCUGCAUUAUUGUUCAUAUCUUCUCUUAAUUCCUUCCGUAUUUUCACUAUCUCCCUUUUGAACUCAAAGUCUGUCAGACUGCAGAGGUCUGUUUCUUUAUUGACUGCUUUAGGUGAAUUCUCCUGUUCCUUUAACUGGGAGUGAUUUCUGUGCUUCUUCAUCUUGCUUGUGUUUUUCUUUUUCUGUGAUUUCCAGGAAGCCAAACUGUAGUCUUGUAAGGCUACUUGAUGCAAGAGCCUUUGUAUUUUUUUGGGGGGGUUACUAUUUAUUUUUGGUGUGGGUAUUUGAAUAUUUGCUCUCUCUUUCUUUGUUGUGAGCAUGCUGUUUUCCCAGGAUGCUCAGUGUGUUUUCAGGAAGAUGGAGGCAAUGGGUGGGGCCAGCAUUCAGUGCCUGGUUAUUGGGUUCUCAAUAGCAGCAAGGACCUGCAGGAAGGUGGCACAGGCUACUCCUAGUUGCAGGGCCCUGGGAAGUGGUAAUAAGCUCUAGGCAAAUCUUUAAGGUG
This 4838-nucleotide long non-coding RNA is filed under the name Sus scrofa (pig). Its description in RNAcentral is "lncRNA (ENSSSCG00025021486.1)". The record is from RNAcentral. Lineage: Eukaryota; Metazoa; Chordata; Mammalia; Artiodactyla; Suidae.